UGGGGAAUAUUGCGCAAUGGGCGAAAGCCUGACGCAGCAACACCGCGUGAGGGAUGACGGCCUUCGGGUUGUAAACCUCUUUCAGCUCCGACGAAGCGAAAGUGACGGUAGGAGCAGAAGAAGCACCGGCUAACUACGUGCCAGCAGCCGCGGUAAUACGUAGGGUGCAAGCGUUGUCCGGAAUUAUUGGGCGUAAAGAGCUCGUAGGCGGUCCGUUGCGUCUGCCGUGAAAACCCGGAGCUCAACUCCGGGCCUGCGGUGGAUACGGGCGGACUAGAGUCCGGUAGGGGAGACUGGAAUUCCUGGUGUAGCGGUGGAAUGCGCAGAUAUCAGGAGGAACACCGGUGGCGAAGGCGGGUCUCUGGGCCGGAACUGACGCUGAGGAGCGAAAGCGUGGGGAGCGAACAGGAUUAGAUACCCUGGUAGUCCACGCCGUAAACGGUGGGCGCUAGGUGUGGGAUCGUUUCCACGAUCUCCGUGCCGUAGCUAACGCAUUAAGCGCCCCGCCUGGGGAGUACGGCCGCAAGGCUAAAA
Molecule: ribosomal RNA, 534 nt
Filed under: uncultured bacterium
Lineage: Bacteria
Description: bacterial SSU rRNA
Rfam family: Bacterial small subunit ribosomal RNA
Source: RNAcentral